Molecule: long non-coding RNA, 218 nt
Organism: Strongylocentrotus purpuratus (purple sea urchin)
Lineage: Eukaryota; Metazoa; Echinodermata; Echinoidea; Camarodonta; Strongylocentrotidae
Exons: 2
Source: RefSeq, a predicted model, not a curated record
UAGUUUGGCCGGUGGGGGCGUUUACCACUGCAGACAGCAAAUUCUUCUGUGAGUGGGAAGAUUUACCCAGUGAUUCCGCCGACUAUUAAUCAAGUCAAUCCUGUCGAGACCCAAUGUUAUUGAACCACACUUCAGGUUACUACACGUCACUUCGCUUCAAAAGUUCAGUCAUUGUGCAUUGCUUUGCGCUUUGCGCAUUAAACGUCAUGGUAUCAUAA